RNAcentral lists this ribosomal RNA (537 nucleotides) under uncultured bacterium. Its description in RNAcentral is "bacterial SSU rRNA". It matches the Rfam family "Bacterial small subunit ribosomal RNA", at positions 8 to 526 of the family's 1533-position model. The record is from RNAcentral.
AGAGUUUGAUCAUGGCUCAGAAUCAACGCUGGCGGCGUGCCUAACACAUGCAAGUCGAACGCGAAAGCCCCGCAAGGGGUAAGUAGAGUGGCAAACGGGUGAGUAACACGUGGGUGACCUGCCUUAGAGUGGGGGAUAACGUCCCGAAAGGGACGCUAAUACCGCAUAACAUCCUGCCUUUGAAGAGGUGGAGAUCAAAGCCGGGGACCGCAAGGCCUGGCGCUCAAAGAGGGGCCCGCGCCUGAUUAGCUAGUUGGUGAGGUAAUGGCUCACCAAGGCAACGAUCAGUAUCCGGCCUGAGAGGGCGGACGGACACACUGGGACUGAGACACGGCCCAGACUCCUACGGGAGGCAGCAGUGGGGAAUUGUUCGCAAUGGGCGCAAGCCUGACGACGCAACGCCGCGUGGAGGAUGAAGGUCUUCGGAUUGUAAACUCCUGUUGCCAGGGACGAAAAGCUCCGACCUAACACGUCGGAGUCUGACGGUACCUGGUGAGGAAGCCCCGGCUAACUCUGUGCCAGCAGCGGCGGUAAUAC